RNAcentral lists this ribosomal RNA (851 nucleotides) under Enterococcus faecalis. RNAcentral's name for it is "bacterial SSU rRNA". It matches the Rfam family "Bacterial small subunit ribosomal RNA", at positions 596 to 1443 of the family's 1533-position model. The record is from RNAcentral. Lineage: Bacteria; Bacillati; Bacillota; Bacilli; Lactobacillales; Enterococcaceae.
GAAAGCCCCCGGCUCAACCGGGGAGGGUCAUUGAAAACUGGGAGACUUGAGUGCAGAAGAGGAGAGUGGAAUUCCAUGUGUAGCGGUGAAAAUGCGUAGAUAUAUGGAGGGAACACCAGUGGCGAAGGCGGCUCUAUGGUCUGUAACUGACGCUGAGGCUCGAAAAGCGUGGGGAGCAAACAGGAUUAGAUACCUUGGUAGUCCACGCCGUAAACGAUGAGUGCUAAGUGUUGGAGGGUUUUCCGCCCUUCAGUGCUGCAGCAAACGCAUUAAGCACUCCGCCUGGGGAGUACGACCGCAAGGUUGAAACUCAAAGGAAUUGACGGGGGCCCGCACAAGCGGUGGAGCAUGUGGUUUAAUUCGAAGCAACGCGAAGAACCUUACCAGGUCUUGACAUCCUUUGACCACUCUAGAGAUAGAGCUUUCCCUUCGGGGACAAAGUGACAGGUGGUGCAUGGUUGUCGUCAGCUCGUGUCGUGAGAUGUUGGGUUAAGUCCCGCAACGAGCGCAACCCUUAUUGUUAGUUGCCAUCAUUUAGUUGGGCACUCUAGCGAGACUGCCGGUGACAAACCGGAGGAAGGUGGGGAUGACGUCAAAUCAUCAUGCCCCUUAUGACCUGGGCUACACACGUGCUACAAUGGGAAGUACAACGAGUCGCUAGACCGCGAGGUCAUGCAAAUCUCUUAAAGCUUCUCUCAGUUCGGAUUGCAGGCUGCAACUCGCCUGCAUGAAGCCGGAAUCGCUAGUAAUCGCGGAUCAGCACGCCGCGGUGAAUACGUUCCCGGGCCUUGUACACACCGCCCGUCACACCACGAGAGUUUGUAACACCCGAAGUCGGUGAGGUAACCUUU